RNAcentral lists this ribosomal RNA (453 nucleotides) under uncultured organism. RNAcentral's name for it is "bacterial SSU rRNA". It matches the Rfam family "Bacterial small subunit ribosomal RNA", at positions 28 to 507 of the family's 1533-position model. The record is from RNAcentral.
GAUGAACGCUGGCGGCGUGCUUAAGACAUGCAAGUCGAACGGGUGUAGCAAUACACUAGUGGCGAACGGGUGAGUAAUACGUAAACAACUUGCCUCUCAGACGGGGACAACUCCGAGAAAUCGGAGCUAAUACCCGAUAUGCACACAAGUUCUUAUGAACAAGGGUGGAAAGCUUACGGGGCUGAGAGAGAGGUUUAUGGCUGAUUAGCUAGUUGGCAGGGUAAUGGCCUACCAAGGCAACGAUCAGUAGCUGGUCCGAGAGGAUGUCCAGCCACACUGGGACUGAGAUACGGCCCAGACUCCUACGGGAGGCAGCAGUCGGGAAUUUUGCACAAUGGGCGAAAGCCUGAUGCAGCGACGCCGUGUGAAUGAAGAAGUCUUUCGGGAUGUAAAGUUCUGUCAGCAGGGAAGAUAAUGACUGUACCUGCAGAGGAAGCUCCGGCUAACUAUGUG